This 451-nucleotide ribosomal RNA is filed under the name uncultured bacterium. Its description in RNAcentral is "partial 16S ribosomal RNA". It matches the Rfam family "Bacterial small subunit ribosomal RNA", at positions 354 to 796 of the family's 1533-position model. The record is from RNAcentral.
GUGGGGAAUAUUGGACAAUGGGGGGAACCCUGAUCCAGCCAUGCCGCGUGUGUGAAGAAGGCCUUUUGGUUGUAAAGCACUUUAAGCGAGGAGGAGGCUACCGAGAUUAAUACUCUUGGAUAGUGGACGUUACUCGCAGAAUAAGCACCGGCUAACUCUGUGCCAGCAGCCGCGGUAAUACAGAGGGUGCAAGCGUUAAUCGGAUUUACUGGGCGUAAAGCGCGCGUAGGUGGCCAAUUAAGGCAAAUGUGAAAUCCCCGAGCUUAACUUGGGAAUUGCAUUCGAUACUGGUUGGCUAGAGUAUGGGAGAGGAUGGUAGAAUUCCAGGUGUAGCGGUGAAAUGCGUAGAGAUCUGGAGGAAUACCGAUGGCGAAGGCAGCCAUCUGGCCUAAUACUGACACUGAGGUGCGAAAGCAUGGGGAGCAAACAGGAUUAGAAACCCUAGUAGUCC